RNAcentral lists this ribosomal RNA (116 nucleotides) under Pteropus alecto (black flying fox). Lineage: Eukaryota; Metazoa; Chordata; Mammalia; Chiroptera; Pteropodidae. The record is from RNAcentral.
GUCUAUGGCCAUGCCCUGAACGUGCCAGAUCUCGUCUGACUUCGGAAGCUAAACAGGGUUGGGCCUGGUUAGUACGUGGAUGGGAGACCGCCUAGAAAGACCAGGUGCUUUAGGCG